CUACUACUCUCUCCGUUCCAAAAUUAUUGUCUUAGAUUUGUCUAAAUACGGAUGUGUCUAGUUAUGUUUUAGGACAUCCGUAUCUAGACAAAUGUAAGACAAGAAUUUUAGGACGAAGGGAGUACUAA
Non-coding RNA from Triticum aestivum (bread wheat), 128 nucleotides. NCBI's taxonomy places the organism in Eukaryota, Viridiplantae, Streptophyta, Magnoliopsida, Poales, Poaceae. The record is from Rfam.